Molecule: ribosomal RNA, 447 nt
Filed under: uncultured bacterium
Lineage: Bacteria
Description: bacterial SSU rRNA
Rfam family: Bacterial small subunit ribosomal RNA
Source: RNAcentral
CCCAGACUCCUACGGGAGGCAGCAGUGGGGAAUAUUGCACAAUGGGGGGAACCCUGAUGCAGCGACGCCGCGUGGGCGAGGAAGUAUUUCGGUAUGUAAAGCCCUAUCGGCAGGGAAGAAGAAAUGACGGUACCUGGAUAAGAAGCACCGGCUAAAUACGUGCCAGCAGCCGCGGGAAUACGUAUGGUGCAAGCGUUAUCCGGAUUUACUGGGCGUAAAGGGAGCGCAGGCGGCGCGCCAAGUCUGAUGUGAAACCCCGGGGCUCAACCCCGGGCAUGCAUUGGAAACUGGCGGGCUGGAGUGCCGGAGAGGUAAGCGGAAUUCCCAGUGUAGCGGUGAAAUGCGUAGAUAUUAGGAGGAACACCAGUGGCGAAGGCGGCUUGCUGGACCGUAACUGACGUUGAGGCUCGAAAGCGUGGGGAGCAAACAGGAUUAGAUACCCUAGUA